AACGAACGCUGGCGGCAUGCCUAACACAUGCAAGUCGAACGAUACCUUCGGUUCUAGUGUCGCCCGGGUGCGUAACGCGUGGUAACCUGCCCUUAGGUUCGGAAUAACUCCCCGAUAGGGGUGCUAAUACCUUAUAAUGUCUUCGUACCAACUAUUUAUCGCCUUUGGAUGGGCCCGCGUUGGAUUAGCUAGUUGGUAGGGUAAAAGCCUACCAAGUCGACGAUCCAUAGCUGGUCGGAGAGGAUGAUCAGCCACACUGGGACUGGGACACGGCCCAGACGGGAAGGAGAGGCAGGAGAGGGGAAUAUAGGACAAGGGGCGAAAGGCUGAACCAGCAAGGCCGGGUGAGUGAUGAAGGGGUUAGGGUUGGAAAGCUAUUGUAACCGGGAUGAUAAUGACAGUACCGGGAGAAGAAGCUCCGGCUAACUACGUG
RNAcentral lists this ribosomal RNA (433 nucleotides) under uncultured bacterium. RNAcentral's name for it is "partial 16S ribosomal RNA". It matches the Rfam family "Bacterial small subunit ribosomal RNA", at positions 29 to 507 of the family's 1533-position model. The record is from RNAcentral.